AGCGGGAUAGGGUAGCCAGGAGAUCCCGCAGGGCUCAUAACCCUGAGAUCGGUGGUUCAAAUCCACCUCCCGCUACCA
This 78-nucleotide transfer RNA is filed under the name Promethearchaeota archaeon. Its description in RNAcentral is "Candidatus Lokiarchaeota archaeon (marine sediment metagenome) tRNA-Met". It matches the Rfam family "tRNA". Rfam says of the family: Transfer RNA (tRNA) molecules are approximately 80 nucleotides in length. Their secondary structure includes four short double-helical elements and three loops (D, anti-codon, and T loops). RNAcentral also lists the same sequence under 1 other name. The record is from RNAcentral. Lineage: Archaea; Promethearchaeati; Promethearchaeota.